UUAAAGCCUAAAUUUGUUGUAGUGGACUGCAACAGGCUCUGUGGACGUAGGCGCAUUCCUGAACCAUGUAAACCUCUGUACUCUUUGUUUGGUGUUCUUUUUCACUUAUUCUAUGAGUGUGUGCGUGAUGUAUUUUGACAGUAGGUUGGACUAGGAAUAAGCUUGGAGAUUCAAAGUAUUCUUUGGUGCUAGUUAUGCAUAUAUCCAUUAUUAUCCGAGUGCAGACAUGAG
RNAcentral lists this unclassified non-coding RNA (231 nucleotides) under Hevea brasiliensis (rubber tree). Lineage: Eukaryota; Viridiplantae; Streptophyta; Magnoliopsida; Malpighiales; Euphorbiaceae. The record is from RNAcentral.